Molecule: RNase P RNA, 406 nt
Filed under: Muribaculaceae bacterium
Lineage: Bacteria; Pseudomonadati; Bacteroidota; Bacteroidia; Bacteroidales; Muribaculaceae
Description: RNase P RNA component class A
Rfam family: Bacterial RNase P class A
About the family: Ribonuclease P (RNase P) is a ubiquitous endoribonuclease, found in archaea, bacteria and eukarya as well as chloroplasts and mitochondria. Its best characterised activity is the generation of mature 5'-ends of tRNAs by cleaving the 5'-leader elements of precursor-tRNAs.
Source: RNAcentral
CGGGAUGGCGGGUUCGUCGCUUCCGCACGCAUGAGGCGGAAGAGGAAAGUCCGGGCAACACAGAGCGGCGCACUCCCCUCGGGGAGCUAUCGGCAACGGUAGAGUAGCGUGACAGAAAACAACCGCCCAAGCGUCGGGCCUCCGGGCCUCGAUGACGGCAAGGGUGAAAAGGUGGGGCAAGAGCCCACCGGGCGCCACAGCGAUAUGGCGUGCCGCACGUCUUGCGUGUUGCAAGGUCAAGUAUACCGGCAGGGGACUUCGGUCCCGACGGGCUGCUCGCCCGGUGCCGGGGGGUAGACUGCUGAGAUAAAUGACGGACAGGCCGGCACGGCUCCGCGCCGGGCCUCCGGGCCACGGAAGGAAAGCGUGCCGCCUACAUAACCCGGCUUAUACGCCGUCCCGCGUG